AACGAACGCUGGCGGCAGGCCUAACACAUGCAAGUCGAACGCCCUAGCAAUAGGGAGUGGCGCACGGGUGCGUAACGCGUGGGAAUAUGCACUUGACUGCGGAACAACGUCGGGAAACUGACGCUAAUACCGCAUAAUGUCUUCGGACCAAAGAUUUAUCGGUCAAGGAUUAGCCCGCGUCUGAUUAGCUAGUUGGUGAGGUAACGGCUCACCAAGGCGACGAUCAGUAGGGGGUCUGAGAGGAUGAUCCCCCACACUGGGACUGAGACACGGCCCAGACUCCUACGGGAGGCAGCAGUGAGGAAUAUUGGACAAUGGGCGCAAGCCUGAUCCAGCCAUGCCGCGUGAGUGACGAAGGCCUUCGGGUUGUAAAGCUCUUUCAGAUGCGAAGAUAAUGACGGUAACAUCAGAAGAAGCCCCGGCUAAAUUCGUGCCAGCCGCCGCUGUAA
Molecule: ribosomal RNA, 449 nt
Filed under: uncultured bacterium
Lineage: Bacteria
Description: partial 16S ribosomal RNA
Rfam family: Bacterial small subunit ribosomal RNA
Source: RNAcentral